This 654-nucleotide ribosomal RNA is filed under the name uncultured bacterium. Its description in RNAcentral is "bacterial SSU rRNA". It matches the Rfam family "Bacterial small subunit ribosomal RNA", at positions 188 to 845 of the family's 1533-position model. The record is from RNAcentral.
GCAUGGUAGAACUAUUAAAGAAUUUCGGUCAUCGAUGGGGAUGCGUUCCAUUAGGUUGUUGGCGGGGUAACGGCCCACCAAGCCUUCGAUGGAUAGGGGUUCUGAGAGGAAGGUCCCCCACAUUGGAACUGAGACACGGUCCAAACUCCUACGGGAGGCAGCAGUGAGGAAUAUUGGUCAAUGGACGAGAGUCUGAACCAGCCAAGUAGCGUGAAGGAUGACUGCCCUAUGGGUUGUAAACUUCUUUUAUACGGGAAUAAAGUGAGGCACGUGUGCCUUUUUGUAUGUACCGUAUGAAUAAGGAUCGGCUAACUCCGUGCCAGCAGCCGCGGUAAUACGGAGGAUCCGAGCGUUAUCCGGAUUUAUUGGGUUUAAAGGGAGCGUAGGCGGACGCUUAAGUCAGUUGUGAAAGUUUGCGGCUCAACCGUAAAAUUGCAGUUGAUACUGGGUGUCUUGAGUACAGUAGAGGCAGGCGGAAUUCGUGGUGUAGCGGUGAAAUGCUUAGAUAUCACGAAGAACUCCGAUUGCGAAGGCAGCUUGCUGGACUGUAACUGACGCUGAUGCUCGAAAGUGUGGGUAUCAAACAGGAUUAGAUACCCUGGUAGUCCACACAGUAAACGAUGAAUACUCGCUGUUUGCGAUAUACAGUAAGCG